GCAAGUAUCAGCACACCAGUGAGAAUGCCCUCUAACUCUUAUAGAUCAAAAGGAGCAAGCAUCAAGUACACACAGCCCUUACAGUAGCUCAUAACGCUUUGCUCAACCACACCCCCACGGGAUACAGCAGUGAUAAAAAUUAAGCAAUAAGCGAAAGCUUGACUAAGUUAUGUUAUUAUAAGGGUUGGUAAAUUUCGUGCCAGCAACCGCGGUCAUACGAUUAACCCAAAUUAAUAGUUAUCGGCGUAAAGCGUGUUUAAGACACCUAGACAAUAGAGUUAAACCCUUACUACGCUGUAAAAAGCCUUAGUAGGACCAUAAACCCUUCAACGAAAGUGACUCUAAUUUAUCUGACUACACGAUAGCUAGGACCCAAACUGGGAUUAGAUACCCCACUAUGCCUAGCCCUAAACUAAAACAGUUCACAAACAAAACUGUUCGCCAGAGUACUACUAGCAACAGCUUAAAACUCAAAGGACUUGGCGGUGCUUUACAUCCUUCUAGAGGAGCCUGUUCUAUAAUCGAUAAACCCCGAUAUACCUCACCACCCCUUGCUAAUACAGCCUAUAUACCGCCAUCUUCAGCAGACCCUAGUAAGGCACCACAGUGAGCACAAUAACAUACAUAAAGACGUUAGGUCAAGGUGUAGCUUAUGGGGUGGGAAGAAAUGGGCUACAUUUUCUAAUAAAGAGCAAAUACAAAAAACUUAAUGAAACAAUUUAAGACUAAGGUGGAUUUAGUAGUAAGCUAAAAAUAGAGAGUUUAGCUG
Molecule: ribosomal RNA, 769 nt
Filed under: Dasypus novemcinctus (nine-banded armadillo)
Lineage: Eukaryota; Metazoa; Chordata; Mammalia; Cingulata; Dasypodidae
Description: partial 12S ribosomal RNA
Rfam family: Bacterial small subunit ribosomal RNA
Source: RNAcentral